GCGCGGUUAGCUCAGUUGGUAGAGCAGACGACUUAUACUCGUCCUGUCGGGGGUUCGAAUCCCUCACCGCGCA
Molecule: transfer RNA, 73 nt
Filed under: Candidatus Zambryskibacteria bacterium RIFCSPHIGHO2_01_FULL_39_63
Lineage: Bacteria; Candidatus Zambryskiibacteriota
Also listed under: 3 other names
Description: tRNA-Ile
Rfam family: tRNA
About the family: Transfer RNA (tRNA) molecules are approximately 80 nucleotides in length. Their secondary structure includes four short double-helical elements and three loops (D, anti-codon, and T loops).
Source: RNAcentral